Molecule: ribosomal RNA, 393 nt
Filed under: uncultured bacterium
Lineage: Bacteria
Description: bacterial SSU rRNA
Rfam family: Bacterial small subunit ribosomal RNA
Source: RNAcentral
GACGAACGCUGGCGGCGUGCUUAACACAUGCAAGUCGAGCGGUAAGGCCCUUUCGGGGGUACACGAGCGGCGAACGGGUGAGUAACACGUGGGUGACCUGCCCUCAGCUCUGGGAUAAGCCUGGGAAACCGGGUCUAAUACUGGAUAUGACUCCAUGACGCAUGUUGUGGGGUGGAAAGCCUUGUGCGGCUGAGGAUGGGCCCGCGGCCUAUCAGCUUGUUGGUGGGGUGAGGCCUACCAAGGCGACGACGGGUAGCCGGCCUGAGAGGCGACCGGCCACACUGGGACUGAGACACGGCCCAGACUCCUACGGGAGGCAGCAGUGGGGAAUCUUGCGCAAUGGGCGAAAGCCUGACGCAGCGACGCCGCGUGAGGGAUGACGGCCUGUGUAAC